RNAcentral lists this ribosomal RNA (609 nucleotides) under Symbiodinium pilosum. Its description in RNAcentral is "partial 23S ribosomal RNA". It matches the Rfam family "Bacterial large subunit ribosomal RNA", at positions 1938 to 2620 of the family's 2925-position model. The record is from RNAcentral. Lineage: Eukaryota; Dinophyceae; Suessiales; Symbiodiniaceae. RNAcentral also lists the same sequence under 1 other name.
AACUAUAACGGUCCUAAGGUAGCAAAUUUCCUUGUCGUCCUAAUAACGACCUGCAUGAAACAUAGAACGAUUCGAUAGCUGUCUUGCACACACAUCAUGGUAAAAUAUUCAUCAGUACAAAGAAUAUGCUGGCUCACUAAGACCACACUAAAGGACAAAAAGACCCUCUGAAGCUUUAUAGGGAUAAAAUCUAGUAUCUCCAUGCCCCCCAUCACCCAAGACACAAGAAGCGAGAAAGACAGGCAUUACUACUAUGCAACGACCGAAGUUAGUCUAAAGACUGUUUAAUUGGGGCGAUAAGCUUAUCUAAUCCACCUAAGGUGAACAAAGCCAUCCAAUCAACCAACUAAUAAGUGCAAAGAUACAUGUUUCGCUUAAUGGCCCAAGAAGUCCUUCCCAGUAUUUAAAUGCUAUCUUAAUGAGCUUAAAAUUAAUCUACCAACACCAAGCUACUCUACGGAUAACAGGCUUAAUUUCGGCAAUACGAAAGCUCACAUUAUCAAGAAAAAUGCACCUCGAUGUCGGCUUAUCAUCACCAAAAUCUGUAGCUAGCUUAUUGGUGGGAGUGCUCAUCCCGUAAAUCGGUACGUGAGCUGGGUUCAAUACGAU